RNA transcript from Physcomitrium patens, 2072 nucleotides. It is a transcript of the gene named sucrose nonfermenting 4-like protein, with no coding region annotated. The record is from RefSeq and is a predicted model, not a curated record. Lineage: Eukaryota; Viridiplantae; Streptophyta; Bryopsida; Funariales; Funariaceae.
UCUGACCCGGCCCGGCCCGUUUCCCGCUUGCCCGCUUGCCCGCCCGACAUCGUCUUGCCGACCCCUUCGCAAGCCCGCUGCUUUCUUCGUCUCUCUCAACCUUUCUCGCAUUCGCUGUGUGUUUGUUUGUGUGCGUGUGUGUGUGUCUCUUCAUCAUCGUGUUGAAGCUCGUAAUCGUGCGGGCUGUUGCGUUAAUCCGCUUCCUUGUGCUCCUCUCCCAACUCGUGCCGCUCAUCCGGUGCACCUCAUGUUUGGUGAAGAAGGGGCGGCCGCCGCGCCCGUCCCGGUCCUCGUUCCCACUCGCUUCGUGUGGCCGCACGGCGGUCGUCGUGUCUACCUGUGCGGCGAUUUCACACGAUGGCAGGAUACAUUACCUUUGUCUCCCGUGGAAGGGUCUUCCCGUGUUUUUCAAGUGAUAUGCAGCUUGGCACCAGGUUAUCACACGUAUAAGUUCAUCGUGGAUGGAGAAUGGAGACAUGAUGAGCAGCAGGCACACAUGGCGGAGUCCAACGGUCAAGUCAAUAAUUGGCUUCUGAUCACCAAGCCGCAACACCCUAUCCUCCCUCCCGCUCCUGACAUGGGUACUCCGGGUGUUACCAUGGAUGUUGACCAUGACAUGCUUCAUCAACCUGGGUCAGGAGCUGAAGAUCUUCCUCAGAUUCAUGGUGAUGUGCAACAAGAUCAUCAGCAAGUAGAUAGAGCUGUUAUGGCAGAAUCUGGGGCCACAGUUGUGUCCUCUGCUGAAGCAGAAGCCUCAAGGAAAAACAUAGCCGAUUUUUUAAACCGACAUUUCGCUUAUGACUUACUGCCUGAAUCUGGCAAGGUUGUGGCUCUGGAUGUGGCGUUGCCAGUGAAACAAGCUUUUCAUGCGCUCUAUGAACAGGGUAUUCCUGGAGCUCCAUUAUGGGACUCUUCAUCGCAGCAGUUCGUUGGAAUGCUUACAGCGUCGGACUUCAUUUCAAUAUUACAGCGUCUUGGAAGCCAUGGUGCUUCAGUGUUUUCUGAGGAAGAGUUGGAAAUGCACACAAUUGAAGAAUGGAAAAAGGAGAAGCAAGCACUUUUCCCGUCUGCAUCCCAUUCGCUUGUAUAUGUGGGACCAGAUGAUACCCUUUCACAUGUGGCCAAUGAACUCAUGCGACUUGACGUCGCGCAGCUGCCCGUCUUGCACUAUCCACCUCAUUCGCACAUCCCAGAGUUGUUACAUUUAGCUUGCCUAUCUGGCAUUCUAAGAUGUCUCUGUAGACAUUUCCGGCAUGUUCCUUCAUCUGUCCCUCUCUUUUCUCAACCCAUUGGAACCUUGCGUAUUGGGAAUUGGGUUUCAGGCAUAGCUGAACCUGGUAGCCGACCUCUGCAAGUAUUGCGGCGAGAUGAAUCCCUCAGUCGUGCACUUGCUUUGCUGCUUGAAGCUCGGGUAAGUGCACUUCCUGUUGUGGACGAAAACGGUGUGUUUCAAGACGUUUAUGCCCGGGGGGACAUCACAGCUCUUGCGAGGGAUAGCACGUAUACUCGUCCUCAGCUAAAUGACUUGACUGUCAGUCAGGCAUUGCAGAUAGGGGCUGCGCAAGACUGGACAGGACCUGGCCCUCUCAGUGGCAAUCGUUACCACAUGUGCAUUCGAUCGGACUCGUUACGCUACGUUAUAGAACGUCUGGCUCUUCCAGGAGUUCGGAGAUUAAUAUGCAUUGAAGCUGGAAGCAGACAAGUGGAAGGAAUAAUUACACUGCGAGAUGUUUUUCAGUUCUUGCUAUAAGCUGUACGCUGGGUUAAAUGUCCAGCGUAAUUACGUCUGAUUUUCCUGUUUGAACUGCGCUUCCUUUUUGGAGUAACUAUAAAUGCGAGGAAAUGACUCAAACCGACUCAAUCAAGGCUCUUCAACUCAAAUGAUCCCAGACUGGGUUGAAUUCUAAAUGGUACCCAGGCAAUUAUGUAUUCGAAGCGACAACCAAGGCAACAAUUACACAGUAUAUUGACGUACCUUCUAUUUGCAUCCAUGUAACCCUAACUUGGUUGAUUAUUCUCAAAUAUCUCCACUCAACCUGGAAUCAAAGUUCAGUUUUCUAGCAUUGAUUCGA